RNAcentral lists this transfer RNA (76 nucleotides) under Alphaproteobacteria bacterium. RNAcentral's name for it is "tRNA-Val". It matches the Rfam family "tRNA". Rfam says of the family: Transfer RNA (tRNA) molecules are approximately 80 nucleotides in length. Their secondary structure includes four short double-helical elements and three loops (D, anti-codon, and T loops). The record is from RNAcentral. Lineage: Bacteria; Pseudomonadati; Pseudomonadota; Alphaproteobacteria.
AGGCGCGUAGCUCAGUGGUAGAGCGCUGCCUUUACCUGGCAGAGGUCGACGGUUCAAUUCCGCUCCGCGCCUACCA